AAGUACUAGAAGCAAUCACCCCAUAUAAUCUAGGAAGGGGGUAUGUCUUUUGGAUAGAGACCCCUCCCAUGGACAGUGGUUUGGGCUACUCUUCCUGCUGCCCCAGUUAAUGGGGGCAUCUGAUUCAAGACCCAGCUCCUCCUUCUAAUUUUAUUUCCAUUUGUCUGUUGAACUAGGAGUGCUUGGCUUGGGCUUGCUGAAUUCUCUGCAAAAGUCCUUUUGAGAGAAAAGCAUUAAUAAAACUCCCUAAAGAGUCAUGAGUCCUCUUCUCCCCAUGAUCCUGACAUACAAGAGAGCCUAUUGAUUGUCAGCCAGCAUCACACUGGUUACCUCCUAGAGCCCGUGGGAAGAAGUGUCUCAGUGCUUUGAGCAUGUCACUGGGUUGAAAUGGGUUUCUAUGAUAAUUAACACUAAAUGAGCACACAAGCAGAGCUUCUUGUCUUGCAAAUUUGAAACCUGCAUUAGCUAAUUAAUUCUAAUUAGAGGCUGACAGUUCCAUCUAGCACAGUGAGCAAGUAAUAGGUGGGAUUUUCCCCUUGUGUCUUGACAAUUUAAUAUAAAUAGACCUGGGGACUUCUUUCUAGGUCCAUCAGCCAGUGAGGCAUUUGAAGGUACCCCUUUCUUGGAAAAAGAUUUUGGCAUUUGGGGAAACUUGUUUGUAUCCCACAAAUAUGUAGUGAGCACAGACAUUGGCUACGAAUUGGGCUAGGUGCUAAAGGAGACACCAUUGCCACUCUUUUGAAUCUCAAAGUCUAGUUGGGGAGGUGCAAACAAACAAACAGAAUCCAGUGGCAUCCUAGCCAAAGCAGUAGGACAAGAAAAAAAAAAAAGAGGAAUAUGCUAAUAUUAGAAAGGAAGAUCAAAAAUGUCAUGAUUUGUCUGAAUCAAUUUAUAUGACAUUUUAAAAAAGGCAGAAUUAUACUGAUAAGAACAGAUCAAGGUUUGUCAGGGGUUGGGGAUGGAAGGAGGCAUUGACUAGAAAGAUGCAGCACAAAAGACUCGUUUGGAAUUGUGCUGAUGGUGGUUAUGCAAAUCUAUAUUUGUGUUGAAACUCAGAAUCGUACACCAAAAAAAGAGAAGAUCCAAUUUUUGUGCAUGUUAUUUUCAAAAAUAAAAGAAAAAGACUACAGCUACAUGAAUCAACAUCUGUCCAUCUCAGUGUUGAGUGAAAAACAAAUUCAUAUACUAUUGUUUAAAUUUUCAGUUUUUGAAAAACAUGUCUUCAAGAAGUAAGCCUUAGUUAAGUAGGUGUAUGUAUGUGUUUUUGUAACAUGGAGAUGUUUUAAAUUAAUGUAUAAACUCACUGAAGUAAACAAACAAGGAAAGAAUUGUACACUUUAAUCCAUAUAAAUAUAAAUUGAUGGAGUUCCCACUGUAGUGCAGUGGGUUAAGGAUCCAACUGCAGCAGCUCAGGUCGAUGUGGAGGUGCAGGUUUGAUCCCUGGAUCGGUGCAGUGGGUUAAGGAUCUGGCAUUGUCACAGCUGUGGCUCAGAUUUGAUCCCUGGCCUGGGAACUUCCAUAUGCUAUGGGUUCAGCAAAAAAAUCAACAUAAAAAGACAGAAUUCUCAUGGCAUUUGAGAAUGAUUCUACUUGUUCCUGAGCCCCUAGGUUUUGUGAGAUGUCUCAAUAUCUUUAUGAUAAAUUUUAUCAUUUUGUUUAGAUGCAAAGGUCAUAAUUUAUAGAUGAUUUGGCUAUUUUUUAAAAGAAAUUCAAAAGAUUCAGCUAAAAGUGGUUGAUGCUAAUGAGAAGGUUCAGUAAGAUAACUGGAUACAAAAUGAACAUAAAGAAGAAAAUAGCAUUCCUAUUGAUCAGAAACAUGUAAUUAGAAAAUGUAAUGUAAAAAAUUACCCCAUUCGUUAGAGCAGCAAUGACAAAGAAGAUAAAACUCUUUGAGGGUAACUAGAAAUAUGCUGGAUUUAUAAGAAGGCAGAUAUAAAAGUUUACUGAAAGCCAUGAAGAACGGCCAGAAUCAGUGGAGACAUAUUAAGGUCCUGGAUGGGAAGAGUCAAUCAAUAGCUUAAAGAUGUCAGUCCUUUCCAAUUUAAUAUGUACACUCAAUGCAAUAUCAAUAAAAAUUUGCCUGCACAAAAGCAUGGACAGUGUGAGGGUUGAUUGCUUGGAAAUUUUGCAAUCCAAGUAGACUACGGAGUUGGGGGUGGGCAGGGGUUAGUUUUUAGGUUUGGCAAGGGGGGAACAUGCAAGGCCAAGUUGGUGAAGCAAGAGAAAUUAAUUAAGUCAUCCAAAGCUGAUGGGCUGAGCUCAAGAUAGCACCAGUGCUGACUGAUAGGACAUGUUAGGCUUAUAAAGGAUCUGUGGCCAGAAUCAGUGGCAGGAAUUUAUGGCAGGAACAAUAGAAAAGGAGGAGGGGAGGCUUAGGGGCGGGGUGGGCAUCAAGGCCCAUGACAGAGGGCAGUUAAUCUUUGUAGGCAGUUAAUCUAUGGAGGCAGUUUUUCCCCCUGCAGGCCAUUGUUUCUUGCUGCCCAACUUGAGCAUCCACAUUCUGGGAAAGGGUGUAAAUUUUGCACUGGGCUGUACCCAUGUCAACAGCAGGUCCCCAAGGUGAAUAGCCAUGUUCCGGGGGAGGGGGGCUAAGAAUGGGAGGGUCUGUCACCAUCAUCCUGUGAACCUAUCACUUAGAUGUCCAUCUGGGAGUGUAGUAUGAAGACCAAGGACUAUGACCUGUACAUGGCAGCUCACAAGAAGUUCUUGAAGAUUUUAAUUCAAUCCCCAAGAAGAUCUGAGUUGUCUGAGAAAUAUAUACUGGCUCAUGUGCAGGAUGAAGGGAAGGGUGAGACCCAAGGCAGGGGGUCCUCCAGGAGGCUGCGCCAUAGAAUGGUUUCAAAUGACCAUCUUGCCUGAUCCAAAGGAGUGUCCCAGGAAACAUUAGUGCCCUUCCCUGGCCUCUCAUAUCCUCGCUCUUUCCUGAAUUGAGACUCCAAGGAAGAAAUGAACUAGCACAGUGGAUCUGAAAGGGGAAGAAUGUUUUUUGCGAAGCUGACAUCUGGAGUCUUAGUGUGGUCAGUGGGGAAAGAUUUCUUAAGGAAGGUGCCAAGGUUUGGAGUCUGGAAACCCAGGUGGACCACCUUGAUAAUAGAUGCUACUCAUCAUUGAGAAUUUACCAUCUGUGAGACAGGCACUAGCAUUAUCCCCAUUUUAUUUCAGGCAGAUAACUGAGGCUCAGGGAGGGUACAUGCCCAGGAAGCUGAGACAGGAUCUAAACUGUGUGUCCCCCACAUCACUGAUGUCCCAGUACCUGGCAGAAAGUCCAGGAAAUGUUUGCUGGGUGAAGUCAAAUGACCAGAUGUUGCUUCUCUGGGAAUUUACUUACUGUGCAUUUGGCCAGUGCCUCAUCUUGAUCAGUAAAUCCUCUCCCUGCCCAUAAAUAAGUCACCAUUUGGCCAGGAGGGGCAGAGAAGGGUCUAGCAGGAGGGGUAGGGAGAGGGGAGCAGGAAGGAAGGGGCUGAGUAAUGGAACUGGAUGUGCUUCUAUAAAUUAGGAAACACCCUGCUUGCCACUGACCCAGGUGUCUUGAUCAAUUUGCUCCUCCACACCCUGCCAGCCUAGCACAAUAAAGCUUCCUGUCCAUUUCGGGCCUAAUCACGCAGAACGUAAAUCCUUCAGUAGAGAGGCAGCUGCGUGGGCUGGGGCGCAGUCCACAGGGCUGUUCUUUUCCGUCCUCUGGCACACAAGGAAAUCAGGACUGCACCUCCGCUCACCAGAACUGCUGGACUCCAAAAGUGGAGUAAGCAUGCCUUCUUCCCCCUCAGGCUCUCGGGGCCUCUGGAUGAAGGAUGAAAAGAACAGUUAUCGAAUGAUUCUGGAGUGCUUAGCUGCUUUAUGUGUGAUUCAAUCCUCAAAAAAGCCCUAUGACAUAGGUAGUCUUUUCCUGUUACAGCCAAGGAAACUGAGCUCUGAAAGGGGAGGGGUCCAAGGUCAGAGGCAAGUGAGGGCCGGGUCUUGAAGGGACAUAUCUAUACAAAAAUAUUUUAUUGACAUAUAAUCGAUUUACAAUGUUGUAUUAAUUUUUGCAUACAGCAAAGUGAUUCUGUUUAUAUAUAUAUACAUAUAUAAUUUUUAUAUUAUGGUUUAUCACUGAAUAUUGAAUAUAGUUCCCUGUGCUAUACAGUAGGAUCUUGUUGUUUAUCCAUCCUGUAUAUAAUAGUUUGCAUCUGCUCAUCCCAAACUCCCAAUCCUUCCCUUCUCCCAACCCCCUCCUGGCAACCACAAAUCUGUUCUCUCUGUGAGUUUGUUCAUUUUGUAGAUAUGUUCAUUUGUGUUGUAUUUUAGAUUUUGCUUAUAAGGGAUAUCAUAUUUGUCUUUCUCUUUCUGACUUUGCUUAGAAUGCUAAUCUCUAGGUCUACCCAUAUUGCUAUAAAUGGCAUUAUUUCAUUCCUUUUUUAUGGCUGAAUAAUAUUCCACUGUGUAUAUAUAUGUAUAUACAAUGGAAUAAAUAUGUAUACACAAUGGAAUAAAUAAUAUAUAUAUACAUAUAUAUAUACACAUACCAUAUCUUGUUUUUUAUAGAUUAACUUUUAUGUAAUUUUUGGAGGGAUUUCUGAUAGGGGGAUGAGAAAAUUGAAGGUUAUAUCACUUUCUAGAAUGUAUUUUGGUUAUAUAUAUUUAACAAACAUUCACCAAGGGUCUAUUUCACAUUGACAUUGGCUGUUUUUUACAAUAGCUUAUCUGUCCACAUUUCAUACUAAAUAGAGGAAAUAAUCCUGUCCUCCAGAGUCUACCUUUUUCUUCUUAGUUCUUAGAUAUUCUGGUUUAUAUUCUAGCUGAUUGCAUUUGCCCUAAGAUCCUUUCUCUUGCUUCAGAAAUUACACUUUGCCUCCCUUCUCUGAUGACCAUUUGUCCUGCCUCCCCGUUCUUAUUUUGGCCCCUUCCUCUAUAGGGACACCUGCAUCUCUAGGUUAGAAACACACCUGCUAGUCCUGAAUCUACCCUUCUAAUUAGUUUAGCUGCAAGCCCCUUCCUUCAGAGGAGAAUUGAACACUUGCUACUGUGGAUAUGGAGACGAGAAAGACACCAUUCUUUUUCUCCAUGAACAUGGAGA
Molecule: long non-coding RNA, 5056 nt
Filed under: Sus scrofa (pig)
Lineage: Eukaryota; Metazoa; Chordata; Mammalia; Artiodactyla; Suidae
Description: lncRNA (ENSSSCG00000052497.1)
Source: RNAcentral